This 460-nucleotide ribosomal RNA is filed under the name uncultured bacterium. RNAcentral describes it as "partial 16S ribosomal RNA". It matches the Rfam family "Bacterial small subunit ribosomal RNA", at positions 355 to 795 of the family's 1533-position model. The record is from RNAcentral.
CCUCCGUUCUUCCGCCGUUCUUACUAUUUCUCCCUUUCCUCUCUUCUUACCCAGCCAAGUAGCGUGAAGGAUGACUGCCCUAUGGGUUGUAAACUUCUUUUAUAUGGGAAUAAAACGUUCCACGUGUGGGAUUUUGUAUGUACCAUAUGAAUAAGGAUCGGCUAACUCCGUUCCAGCAGCCGCGGUAAUACGGAGGAUCCGAGCGUUAUCCGGAUUUAUUGGGUUUAAAGGGAGCGUAGGUGGAUUGUUAAGUCAGUUGUGAAAGUUUGUGGCUCAACCGUAAAAUUGCAGUUGAAACUGGCAGUCUAGAGUACAGUAGAGGUGGGCGGAAUUCGUGGUGUAGCGGUGAAAUGCUUAGAGAUCACGAAGAACUCCGAUGGCGAAGGCAGUUCACUGGACUGCAACUGACACUGAGGCGCGAAAGUGUGGGUAUCAAACAGGAUUAGAUACCCCUGUAGUC